UUUGCUGUCGUCAGCUCGUGUCGUGAGAUGUUGGGUUAAGUCCCGCAACGAGCGCAACCCUUACCCUCUGUUGCUAACAGGUGAAGCUGAGCACUCUGAGGGAACUGCCGGUGACAAACCGGAGGAAGGUGGGGAUGACGUCAAGUCAUCACGGCCCUUAUGUCCAGGGCUACACACGUGCUACAAUGGCCGGUACAAAGAGUUGCGAUACCGCGAGGUGGAGCUAAUCUCAAAAAACCGGUCUCAGUUCGGAUUGUUCUCUGCAACUCGAGAGCAUGAAGUUGGAAUCGCUAGUAAUCGUGGAUCAGCACGCCACGU
RNAcentral lists this ribosomal RNA (318 nucleotides) under uncultured bacterium. Its description in RNAcentral is "bacterial SSU rRNA". It matches the Rfam family "Bacterial small subunit ribosomal RNA", at positions 1045 to 1362 of the family's 1533-position model. The record is from RNAcentral.